UACGGAGGGGGCAAGCGUUGUUCGGAAUUACUGGGCGUAAAGGGCGCGCAGGCGGCUGCUCAAGUCAGGCGUGAAAGGCCUGGGCUCAACCCGGGAAUUGCGCUUGAGACUGGGCUGGCUUGAGUGCGGGAGAGGAUGGUGGAAUUCCCAGUGUAGAGGUGAAAUUCGUAGAUAUCGGGAGGAACACCAGUGGCGAAGGCGGCGAUCUGGGUUGAUACUGACGCUGAGGUGCGAAAGCGUGGGGAGCAAACAGG
This 254-nucleotide ribosomal RNA is filed under the name uncultured bacterium. RNAcentral's name for it is "partial 16S ribosomal RNA". It matches the Rfam family "Bacterial small subunit ribosomal RNA", at positions 524 to 776 of the family's 1533-position model. The record is from RNAcentral.